Long non-coding RNA from Lynx canadensis (Canada lynx), 949 nucleotides. RefSeq lists it as uncharacterized. The record is from RefSeq and is a predicted model, not a curated record. NCBI's taxonomy places the organism in Eukaryota, Metazoa, Chordata, Mammalia, Carnivora, Felidae. The transcript has 4 exons.
CAGGGAAGCUGAGGGGGACUGGUGCUAUCAGCCAGACUGACUGAGCCAAAGGAACCCAGGCCGGAGAAGAAAACCAAUAGCAGUGGCUGCCUCAGUGGAAGAAAACGGUGUAGUUAUGGAGCAGGAGUGAGAGGGAGACUAACUCUGCGCCAUUUGCAUCUUUUGAACUUGGAAUCACAUAAGUAAUGGAUGAAAUGAAGGAAUUGAUGAAUGCAGUGGUAGAACAUCCCAGAUGAAGAGGCGGGCUGUGGCCCCAGCAUCUUAUAGGUGAGAACCAAUAAGAACUAUGUUCCCAGAAGCUCUCACCUGACACGCACACUCAGAGUAAAGAGGUCUACAGUCCUUCCCGGUGGAGGAAAGAGCCUGGAAAGGUGAAGAAGAGGUGUCUGAAGCUUGGAGAUGAAGGAGCGAGCACAGGAGUCCUCAAACACACCUCGAGGACCUCACAACUGGGCCAGUGUGGUAAUAAGAUAAUCCCAUAAAAUAACGUUGUACCCAGAAAAUAAGACCUUGGGCUGACAUGUCACUGGGGAUGUUAAACUGAUGGCUUGUUUUAUUCCCCUUUCUCUUGAGAGCCUUCUAAAAUGAUUGUUAAGAAAUAAAAAGGAUAUGAACCCACAACAAUAAAAAUAAUGGGUGAGGCAUCAUCAGUAGGGGAGAUACUCAACAAAUGUCAGGACAACAGAAAGCAGAUGGAAGGGUGGUAACUAAUGCAGUAGGACAGAGAAAGCCUUGGCACAGAGCAUGCAGAGAAGAUACAGCCACGGAAAGAGGCAGCACCAGCCUCUUGGCAGCCCCAGCAAAACACAGAGCUUAAAUCAGCAGAUUAAAUGAAAAUCUGUACACUGGACAGUGCCUCCCCACACCUGGGCACAGACCACCAAGAGGUCAGGGUCUACUCUCCAAGUGGGAGUGGGCAGUUUCUGGAGAAAUCUAAUGUCCCCAGACG